Molecule: ribosomal RNA, 426 nt
Filed under: uncultured bacterium
Lineage: Bacteria
Description: bacterial SSU rRNA
Rfam family: Bacterial small subunit ribosomal RNA
Source: RNAcentral
AUUGAACGCUGGCGGCAUGCCUUACACAUGCAAGUCGAACGGCAGCACGGGAGCAAUCCUGGUGGCGAGUGGCGAACGGGUGAGUAAUAUAUCGGAACGUGCCCGGUCGUGGGGGAUAACGUAGCGAAAGCUACGCUAAUACCGCAUACGAUCUACGGAUGAAAGCGGGGGGAUCGCAAGACCUCGCGCGAUUGGAGCGGCCGAUAUCAGAUUAGGUAGUUGGUGAGGUAAAGGCUCACCAAGCCGACGAUCUGUAGCUGGUCUGAGAGGACGACCAGCCACACUGGGACUGAGACACGGCCCAGACUCCUACGGGAGGCAGCAGUGGGGAAUUUUGGACAAUGGGCGGCAAGCCUGAUCCAGCAAUGCCGCCGUGCAGGAUGAAGGCUCGGUUAGGUUAACGUAGUACGUUUACGUUACGGUUAA